UCCGGUUUGUCACCGGCAGUCUCCUUAGAGUGCCCAACUGAAUGCUGGCAACUAAGGACAAGGGUUGCGCUCGUUGCGGGACUUAACCCAACAUCUCACGACACGAGCUGACGACGGCCAUGCAGCACCUGUGUUCUGGCUCUCUUUCGGGCACAUCCACCUCUCAGCGGACUUCCUGACAUGUCAAGGGUAGGUAAGGUUUUUCGCGUUGCAUCGAAUUAAUCCACAUGCUCCGCCGCUUGUGCGGGCCCCCGUCAAUUCCUUUGAGUUUUAAUCUUGCGACCGUACUCCCCAGGCGGGAUGCUUAAUGCGUUAGCUGCGCCACUGACCAGCAAGCUGGCCAACGGCUAGCAUCCAUCGUUUACGGCGUGGACUAC
This 377-nucleotide unclassified non-coding RNA is filed under the name uncultured Pseudomonadota bacterium. RNAcentral describes it as "uncultured proteobacterium contains 16S-23S intergenic spacer region". The record is from RNAcentral. Lineage: Bacteria; Pseudomonadati; Pseudomonadota.